AUUCGAUCAGCCUGCACUCU
Molecule: microRNA, 20 nt
Filed under: Ornithorhynchus anatinus (platypus)
Lineage: Eukaryota; Metazoa; Chordata; Mammalia; Monotremata; Ornithorhynchidae
Description: oan-miR-1420a-5p
Source: miRBase by way of RNAcentral